This 467-nucleotide ribosomal RNA is filed under the name uncultured bacterium. Its description in RNAcentral is "partial 16S ribosomal RNA". It matches the Rfam family "Bacterial small subunit ribosomal RNA", at positions 28 to 506 of the family's 1533-position model. The record is from RNAcentral.
GACGAACGCUGGCGGCGUGCUUAACACAUGCAAGUCGAACGGAAAGGCCCUGCUUUUGUGGGGUGCUCGAGUGGCGAACGGGUGAGUAACACGUGAGUAACCUGCCCUUGACUUUGGGAUAACUUCAGGAAACUGGGGCUAAUACCGGAUAGGAGCUCCUGCUGCAUGGUGGGGGUUGGAAAGUUUCGGCGGUUGGGGAUGGACUCGCGGCUUAUCAGCUUGUUGGUGGGGUAGUGGCUUACCAAGGCUUUGACGGGUAGCCGGCCUGGGAGGGUGACCGGCCACAUGGGGACUGAGAUACGGCCCAGACUCCUACGGGAGGCAGCAGUGGGGAAUAUUGCACAAUGGGCGGAAGCCUGAUGCAGAAACGCCGCGUGCGGGAUGACGGCCUUCGGGUUGUAAACCGCUUUCGCCUGUGACGAAGCGUGAGUGACGGUAAUGGGUAAAGAAGCACCGGCUAACUACGU